This 800-nucleotide ribosomal RNA is filed under the name uncultured bacterium. RNAcentral's name for it is "bacterial SSU rRNA". It matches the Rfam family "Bacterial small subunit ribosomal RNA", at positions 8 to 856 of the family's 1533-position model. The record is from RNAcentral.
AGAGUUUGAUCCUGGCUCAGGACGAACGCUGGCGGCAGGCCUAACACAUGCAAGUCGAGCGCCCAGCAAUGGGAGCGGCGGACGGGUGAGUAACACGUGGGAAUUUUCCUCAAGGUACGGAACAACUCAGGGAAACUUGGGCUAAUACCGUAUGAUGCAGAGAUGCCAAAGAUUUAUCGCCUUGGGAUAAGCCCGCGUCAGAUUAGGUAGUUGGUGGGGUAAUGGCCUACCAAGCCUGUGAUCUGUAGCUGGUCUGAGAGGACGAUCAGCCACAUUGGGACUGAGACACGGCCCAAACUCCUACGGGAGGCAGCAGUGGGGAAUCUUGCGCAAUGGGCGAAAGCCUGACGCAGCCACGCCGCGUGAAUGAUGAAGGUCUUAGGAUUGUAAAGUUCUUUCGCCCGUGACGAUGAUGACGGUAACGGGAGAAGAAGCCCCGGCUAACUUCGUGCCAGCAGCCGCGGUAAUACGAAGGGGGCUAGCGUUGUUCGGAAUUACUGGGCGUAAAGCGCGCGUAGGCGGUUUUGCAAGCCAGAGGUGAAAUGCCCGAGCUCAACUUGGGAAUUGCCUUUGGGACUGUGAGGCUUCGAGGACGGAAGAGGUGAGUGGAAUUCCCAGUGUAGAGGUGAAAUUCGUAGAUAUUGGGAAGAACACCGGUGGCGAAGGCGGCUCACUGGUCCGUUUCUGACGCUAAAGCGCGAAAGCGUGGGGAUCAAACAGGAUUAGAUACCCUGGUAGUCCACGCCGUAAACGAUGAGUGCUAGGCGUCGGCAGGCUUGCCUGUCGGUGCCGCAGCUAAC